This 774-nucleotide ribosomal RNA is filed under the name uncultured Neocallimastigales. RNAcentral describes it as "partial large subunit ribosomal RNA". It matches the Rfam family "Eukaryotic large subunit ribosomal RNA", at positions 24 to 633 of the family's 3401-position model. The record is from RNAcentral. Lineage: Eukaryota; Fungi; Neocallimastigomycota; Neocallimastigomycetes; Neocallimastigales.
UAUGUGAUCGUCUCUCGCAUAUCAAUAAGCGGAGGAAAAGAAACUAACAAGGAUUCCCCUAGUAACGGCGAGUGAAGCGGGAAGAGCUCAAAUUUGAAAUCUUAAAGGGUUUCCCUUUACGAAUUGUAGUUUAAAGAAGUGUUUUCUGCUGAGGUUUUGGUAAAAGUUCUUUGGAAUAGGACAUCAUAGAGGGUGAGAAUCCCGUAUUUGACCUUUACUUUCAACUUUGUGAUACACUUUCAAAGAGUCGGAUUGUUUGGGAAUGCAGUCCAAAAUGGGUGGUAAAUUUCAUCUAAAGCUAAAUAUUGGCGAGAGACCGAUAGCGAACAAGUACCGUGAGGGAAAGAUGAAAAGAACUUUGAAAAGAGAGUUAAACAGUACGUGAAAUUGUCAAAAGGGAAGCGUUUGACACCAGUGUUGUUUUUCUGAAAAUCAAUUAAAGAACUGUUUAUGCUAAGUUGUUUAGACUUUAUCAGCUAUCUGUUUAGUUUUGAGCUUUUCUUUAAUGCACUUUUCAGUUAACAAGUCAACAUCAAUUUCUUUUGCUGUAAAAAAGCUUGAGGAAGGUGGCUUGAGAUUCGUCUUAAGUGUUUAUAGCCUCUUGCCUAUGCAGUCGGAGAGAUUGAGGUCUGCAGCGUAGAUCCUUCGGGGCUAAAUGCAUUUGUGCUAAGUUAUAGCAUUUUAUAGACAACUUGUUGACUAUGAUUGGUCUUGUAGCUUACUCGCUUAUGUUAUUUUACCUACGCUUAGGAUGUUGAAGACUCUACAGAGAUA